GAUGAACGCUGGCGGCGUGCUUAACACAUGCAAGUCGAACGAUUAAACUGGCUUCGGCCAGAUAUAGAGUGGCGAACGGGUGAGUAACACGUGACCAACCUGCCCCGCGCUCCGGGACAACCGCUGGAAACGGCGGCCAAUACCGGAUGCUCCGGGGAGGCCCCAUGGCCUCCCCGGGAAAGCCUUAACGGCGCGGGAUGGGGUCGCGGCCCAUUAGGUAGACGGCGGGGUAACGGCCCACCGUGCCCGCGAUGGGUAGCCGGACUGAGAGGUCGACCGGCCACAUUGGGACUGAGAUACGGCCCAGACUCCUACGGGAGGCAGCAGUGGGGAAUUUUGCGCAAUGGGGGCAACCCUGACGCAGCAACGCCGCGUGCGGGACGAAGGCCUUCGGGUUGUAGACCGCUUUCAGCAGGGAAGACU
Molecule: ribosomal RNA, 423 nt
Filed under: uncultured bacterium
Lineage: Bacteria
Description: bacterial SSU rRNA
Rfam family: Bacterial small subunit ribosomal RNA
Source: RNAcentral